GCGAAUAAUUGCAGCGUUAAAACUCUCAAAUCAAAAAACUAUGCGGAAAGCUCGAAGAAAUCAGGCGAAGCCUUCUGUCGGUGUCGACCUACUCACGCUUUGGAACAAGCAGCUAUUGUGCUUGUCUCAUUUUUCGCAAAUUUUAAGUCAAGGGAGCAACUUGGAAAUUACGUUCCUUAUGGGAAAAAAAUUUCAAUUUUUCAUAGCUUGUCAAUGAUGCGGCUCUAGCUAAACAUUCUAACAAGCGAUUUAC
Drosophila gunungcola (fruit fly) is the source of this 253-nucleotide long non-coding RNA. RefSeq lists it as uncharacterized. The record is from RefSeq and is a predicted model, not a curated record. Lineage: Eukaryota; Metazoa; Arthropoda; Insecta; Diptera; Drosophilidae. The transcript has 3 exons.